GGAUAUGGUUUAGUGGUAGAGCUCUUACCUAGCAUGAGCCAGGUCCUAGGUUCAAUCCCCAGUACCA
RNAcentral lists this transfer RNA (67 nucleotides) under Marmota monax (woodchuck). RNAcentral describes it as "tRNA.Ala". The record is from RNAcentral. Lineage: Eukaryota; Metazoa; Chordata; Mammalia; Rodentia; Sciuridae.